Molecule: ribosomal RNA, 748 nt
Filed under: Streptomyces sp. 556(2010)
Lineage: Bacteria; Bacillati; Actinomycetota; Actinomycetes; Kitasatosporales; Streptomycetaceae
Description: bacterial SSU rRNA
Rfam family: Bacterial small subunit ribosomal RNA
Source: RNAcentral
GGGGAUUAGUGGCGAACGGGUGAGUAACACGGUGGGCAAUCUGCCCUGCACUCUGGGACAAGCCCUGGAAACGGGGUCUAAUACCGGAUAUGACUGUCCAUCGCAUGGUGGAUGGUGUAAAGCUCCGGCGGUGCAGGAUGAGCCCGCGGCCUAUCAGCUUGUUGGUGAGGUAGUGGCUCACCAAGGCGACGACGGGUAGCCGGCCUGAGAGGGCGACCGGCCACACUGGGACUGAGACACGGCCCAGACUCCUACGGGAGGCAGCAGUGGGGAAUAUUGCACAAUGGGCGAAAGCCUGAUGCAGCGACGCCGCGUGAGGGAUGACGGCCUUCGGGUUGUAAACCUCUUUCAGCAGGGAAGAAGCGAAAGUGACGGUACCUGCAGAAGAAGCGCCGGCUAACUACGUGCCAGCAGCCGCGGUAAUACGUAGGGCGCAAGCGUUGUCCGGAAUUAUUGGGCGUAAAGAGCUCGUAGGCGGCUUGUCACGUCGGUUGUGAAAGCCCGGGGCUUAACCCCGGGUCUGCAGUCGAUACGGGCAGGCUAGAGUUCGGUAGGGGAGAUCGGAAUUCCUGGUGUAGCGGUGAAAUGCGCAGAUAUCAGGAGGAACACCGGUGGCGAAGGCGGAUCUCUGGGCCGAUACUGACGCUGAGGAGCGAAAGCGUGGGGAGCGAACAGGAUUAGAUACCCUGGUAGUCCACGCCGUAAACGGUGGGCACUAGUGUGGGCAACAUUCCACGUUGUCCGUGCC